RNAcentral lists this non-coding RNA (29 nucleotides) under Rattus norvegicus (Norway rat). Lineage: Eukaryota; Metazoa; Chordata; Mammalia; Rodentia; Muridae. The record is from RNAcentral.
UCCAGACUUGCCUUAGGGAAAGAAUUGGU